CCCCCCCUCGAGGUCCUGUACCGGAAGGAGCAGUGGAGGGAUAAGAAGAGAGAAUGCCGGAAUGAGUAGCGAGAGAAAGGUGGGAAUCCUUUCGGCCGAAUAUCUAAGGUUUCCAGAGUAAAGCUGAUCUGCUCUGGGUAAGUCGGGGCCUAAGCACAGGUCGCAAGACGUAAGCGAUGGAUAACAGGUUUAGAUUCCUGUACCACGCAUUAUCAGAACUGUAGGGACGCAUGUGGAAAGCACGAGCCGGGAAUGGAAAGACCGGUACAAGCGGGGUAGGAGUACAAUAGGCAAAUCCGUUGUAUGAUCCGAAGACGUGAUGUGGAGCGAAAUAAAGUAGUGAAGCGUGUGAGCCAUGUGCCGAGAAAAGCUGCUAUUGUGUAAUGCGUGCCCGUACCGUAAACCGACACAGGUGGAUGAGGAGAGAAUCCUAAGGCCGACGGAAGAAGCAUUGUUAAGGAAUUCGGCAAAAUGACCCCGUAACUUCGGGAGAAGGGGUGCCUGCGAGAGCAGGCCGCAGAGAAUAGGCUCAAGCAACUGUUUAGCAAAAACACAGGUCUAUGCGAAACCGAAAGGUGAAGUAUAUGGGCUGACGCCUGCCCGGUGCUGGAAGGUUAAGAGGAGAGGUUAGCGAAAGCGAAGCUUUGAAUUUAAGCCCCAGUAAACGGCGGCCGUAACUAUAACGGUCCUAAGGUAGCGAAAUUCCUUGUCGGGUAAGUUCCGACCCGCACGAAAGGCGUAAUGAUUUGAGCGCUGUCUCGACAAUGCAUCCGGUGAAAUUGAAGUACCAGUGAAGAUGCUGGUUACCCGCGCCAGGACGGAAAGACCCCAUGGAGCUUUACUCCAGUUUGAUACUGGGAUUCGGUACUGCAUGUACAGGAUAGGUGGGAGACGAAGAAGGAUGGACGCCAGUCUGUCCGGAGUCGCUGUUGGGAUACCACCCCUGUAGUACUGGGUUUCUAACCAGUUACCAUGAUCUGGUAAUGGGACAAUGUCAGGCGGGGAGUUUGACUGGGGCGGUCGCCUCCGAAAGGGUAUCGGAGGCGCUCAAAGGUUCCCUCAGAAUGGUUGGAAACCAUUUGAAGGACGGUAUCGAUAAGCUUGAU
RNAcentral lists this ribosomal RNA (1106 nucleotides) under human gut metagenome. Its description in RNAcentral is "bacterial LSU rRNA". It matches the Rfam family "Bacterial large subunit ribosomal RNA", at positions 1241 to 2373 of the family's 2925-position model. The record is from RNAcentral.